GAUGAACGCUAGCUACAGGCUUAACACAUGCAAGUCGAGGGGCAGCGGGAUUGAAGCUUGCUUCAAUUGCCGGCGACCGGCGCACGGGUGAGUAACGCGUAUCCAACCUUCCGUACACUCAGGGAUAGCCUUUCGAAAGAAAGAUUAAUACCUGAUGGUAUGAUGAGAUCGCAUGGUAUCAUCAUUAAAGAUUUAUCGGUGUACGAUGGGGAUGCGUUCCAUUAGGUAGUAGGCGGGGUAACGGCCCACCUAGCCAACGAUGGAUAGGGGUUCUGAGAGGAAGGUCCCCCACAUUGGAACUGAGACACGGUCCAAACUCCUACGGGAGGCAGCAGUGAGGAAUAUUGGUCAAUGGACGAAAGUCUGAACCAGCCAAGUAGCGUGAAGGAUGAAGGUCCUACGGAUUGUAAACUUCUUUUAUAAGGGAUAAACCCUCCACGUGUGGGAGCUUGUAUGUACCUUAUGAAUAAGCAUCGGCUAACUCCGUGCCAGCAG
This 495-nucleotide ribosomal RNA is filed under the name uncultured bacterium. RNAcentral describes it as "bacterial SSU rRNA". It matches the Rfam family "Bacterial small subunit ribosomal RNA", at positions 28 to 514 of the family's 1533-position model. The record is from RNAcentral.